GACGAACGCUGGCGGCGUGCUUAACACAUGCAAGUCGAACGAAGUGGCGAACGGGUGAGUAACGCGUAAUCAACCUGCCCGUCAGAGGGGGACAACAGUUGGAAACGACUGCUACAACCGCAUACUGACGGAGGGGUUUGUGUCUGAUUAGCUAGUUGGAGGGGUAACGGCCCACCAAGGCGAUGAUCAGUAGCCGGUCUGAGUGUAUGAACUGCACAAUUGGGACUGAGAAACGGCCCAGACUCCUACGGGAGGCAGCAGUGGGGAAUCUUCCGCAAUGGACGAAAGUCUGACGGAGCAACGCCGCGUGAGUGAUGACGGCCUUCGGGUUGUAAAGCUCUGUUAAUCGGGACGCGGUACCGGAAUAGAAAGCCACGGCUAACUACGUGCCAGCAGCCGCGGUAAUAC
This 408-nucleotide ribosomal RNA is filed under the name uncultured bacterium. Its description in RNAcentral is "partial 16S ribosomal RNA". It matches the Rfam family "Bacterial small subunit ribosomal RNA", at positions 28 to 526 of the family's 1533-position model. The record is from RNAcentral.